This 310-nucleotide small RNA is filed under the name Histoplasma capsulatum. RNAcentral's name for it is "hypothetical RNA". RNAcentral also lists the same sequence under 1 other name. Lineage: Eukaryota; Fungi; Ascomycota; Eurotiomycetes; Onygenales; Ajellomycetaceae. The record is from RNAcentral.
UCCCCUCGUCGUCCUCGAUCUCCUUCGCGUGUCUCCCUCUUCGCUGUGGGCAGCAACAGCAAAUCGCAGUGAGGAAGCGGGCGAAAUCUGACCGCGUUCAACUCAUUCUUGGAUUCUCGGGGGGACCCACCUGGUCCCCUGGUUCCAUAUGUCGCGCCCGGUGAAGUUCAAACCGCUAUUUUUCGAUUCUCUGGACGCGCCACAUCCUUUCCAACGAAGACAAAGAGACACUCGGAUAGCGCGCGCGACCAGCAGGAGAGAGCGGUAACUGCCCUGCUAGCUCCUGCUCACGUAGGAGUGGGGAAAAGAA